GCGAGAGUAGUAUAGUGGCAAUACGCUAGCUUCCCAAGCUAGGAACGCGGGUUCGAUUCCCGUCUCUCGCU
RNAcentral lists this transfer RNA (71 nucleotides) under bacterium. RNAcentral describes it as "tRNA-Gly". It matches the Rfam family "tRNA". Rfam says of the family: Transfer RNA (tRNA) molecules are approximately 80 nucleotides in length. The record is from RNAcentral.